Molecule: ribosomal RNA, 490 nt
Filed under: Phaeobacter gallaeciensis
Lineage: Bacteria; Pseudomonadati; Pseudomonadota; Alphaproteobacteria; Rhodobacterales; Roseobacteraceae
Description: bacterial SSU rRNA
Rfam family: Bacterial small subunit ribosomal RNA
Source: RNAcentral
CGCGUGAGUGAUGAAGGCCUUAGGGUCGUAAAGCUCUUUCGCCUGUGAUGAUAAUGACAGUAGCAGGUAAAGAAACCCCGGCUAACUCCGUGCCAGCAGCCGCGGUAAUACGGAGGGGGUUAGCGUUGUUCGGAAUUACUGGGCGUAAAGCGCGCGUAGGCGGAUUAGUCAGUUAGAGGUGAAAUCCCAGGGCUCAACCCUGGAACUGCCUUUAAUACUGCUAGUCUUGAGUUCGAGAGAGGUGAGUGGAAUUCCGAGUGUAGAGGUGAAAUUCGUAGAUAUUCGGAGGAACACCAGUGGCGAAGGCGGCUCACUGGCUCGAUACUGACGCUGAGGUGCGAAAGUGUGGGGAGCAAACAGGAUUAGAUACCCUGGUAGUCCACACCGUAAACGAUGAAUGCCAGUCGUCGGCAAGCAUGCUUGUCGGUGACACACCUAACGGAUUAAGCAUUCCGCCUGGGGAGUACGGUCGCAAGAUUAAAACUCAAUA